AGCUCUUGUGUGAGACGCAGGCGAGGAUGGCCAGGCGCCCGGGAAUGAAAGCAAAGUUCCGUGGAGCUUGGAGCCCCUAGACAGCCACCCGUGUCCGGGCGGAGAAGAGCCCUCCGCGGUCCGAGCUCGAGCGUGGAGCGGCCUCCGGCGCUCGGGCUGCCCGGGUGGAAGCCCGCGAAGGGGGUCCCGCGGCGCUUUUGUACAGCCCCGCCUUGGCCAGCCGCGAUCUGACGCACCGGCUCCCCUGGGACGCUGGGGGCGUCGCACUGCAGCUGGGUGGGGAGCAAUUUAUUCCUCGCCGUCCCAUCCCAGCCCAUCUUCGGUUACUCCACCCUACCCCUCCCAUGCCUCCACCUCCUCCUCUUCCUCCUCCUCCUCCUCUACCUACGCCUUCACUACCUCUGAUUCUCCACCUCCUCUUCAUCCUCCAUCCCCCUUCUACUUCUCUCUCCCCCCUCUCUCCUCCCUCCCGCCUCCCUGCCCUCUCCCUCUCCCCUCCCUCUCUCCUCUGAAUAAGCAAGCUUUUGCCUCUAAAAGUCACAAGUAAUCCUCGUGUGUGACACAGAGAGAGAGAGAGAAAGGGAGAGAGAGAGGCGAGCCUGCCGAGGGGAGCGGCAGGCAGGAAGGGAAAUCUGGCACAACGGCUGGGAGAGGAAACUUGACGCUUCUGGGCCACCAUUUGCCAGGGCCUCGCUCGAGACGCCGAAAGGAGCCUGUGUAUGUCCUGCGGCCGCCCUGUGACUCUGGAUCUUGUCUUCUGGCCGGCGCUUCGAUUCCUGCCCAGCUGGAUUUGAGGGGCAGCAGUGCCUGGCGCAGGGAGGAGAGCAAAUGAGACUACAAAGAAGCAUAAAAUGAAUAGACAGUUCAACCAGCCAAAGACCGGGGGCAGCAGCACGCCAGCAAGACGGCAUCUUCUCCUCCCCAGCCUAGAAGCCCUGUGAAAUCGAGGAUCUUCCCCCUAAAACACACACACACAAGAUAUGUGCAAUCAAGCUGCCACCGCUUGGUAAAAAGCUCAUGGUGCCUAACCCAAAAGGAUCGGGAGCAGAUCCUUGAAUCAGCUGUCACUUCUUCUAUAGAAUGGGAUGGUUUUUUUCCUUCCUCCUUACCCUGCGCUGGAAAUUGCCGUUGGCUUUAUACGUCUCUAUAGAGGGAGGCUAAAGAGUCUUGCGUGAGAAUGAAGCAAUUUACAAUGCAAAUAGAGGCCUGUGAAGGGACGGAUGCUGCUGCUCACUCGUAACCGCUUGCUGCACCUUAAUAGCUGGUUUUAUUUUCUGAUAUUAAUAGAUGAAUUGUUGGCUAACGCUGCCGGAGAUUACUUGCUGAAAGGAAAAAAAAAAAGUUCGGAAUAAACUUUGAAAGCAACAGAUCUCGUUUGGAUGUUUAGCCGCACACACAGACAGAAACCAGGUCAUAUUUACAUACAAGGAGGAAUCUUAUGCGCGGCGAGUAUCCUGGAGGACUACCCUUCUGUGCUGUCGGAAAGAUCGGGACCUGGAGUCUGAUCAAAGGAAGACAGAGGCGCGUGAGGGAAGCGAGUUGUUAUCUUUGGUUAUCUAGCUGUAUGAGUGUAUUGGUCUUCAUAAAGCUAGAUAACCGAAAGUAAAAACUCCUUCAAGAUCGCCGGGGAGCGUGUGAGAAUGAGAGACUACAACCGAGAGACAGUAAAAACCAGAAAGGUCAGGAAUACUUAUUGAAUCUAACUUUGUUUUUGUUUUUUUGCCUUUUGAUUAAAGGUGGGGUUAGAGGAAAUUAAGUGACGCAUAUGCCAAAAUAUAAAGGUGCCAGGUACUUGGAGAGGGGUUGUUACAGCUGCAAAGGAGAAUUGUAUGGUGCUAAUGAGGAAAGAGGCUUGCGCAGUUUGUCUUGCUUUAAGGCAAAAGUUUGUAUAUGAGGUUGGUUUUUUUCUUAGACAGCUGUUGUAGAGAUGUCUGGUACCUAGUUUAAAAAUGAUUUGGUAAUAUGUGGACUUAGGCUCUUCCCUUCUGAGGCCCCUCCCCUGAAAAAUUUGAAAGAUGAUGCUUGGAAACUACAUGUAUUUGGGUUGUAUGUCAAAUUAUAUGAAAUUAGACUUUCAGAAAAUUUAUACUGGAAGGUUAAUCAUUUGUAUCUACUGAGGACAUAGAGCUAGAAGGGAAAAUGCAAAAAAAGAAAAAAAAAGCAAAGGCUGAUUUUUAUUCUUCUAUUCAAAAUACAAGGACAGAUGCUUCUCUGUUCCAAGAGGGUUUCCUUGAGGAAGCUACUGAAGCAGAAAGACAUGAUGGAGACGAGAUCGCCUCCCCUCUUGUCAAAGUGUUAAAAAAAUGUUCUGUCUUACUCUGCGCCUAGCAUUGGAAAUGAAAGUGACAUUUACGCCACAACCCACGUGUGCGCCUCCUCUCUUUUUGUUUAAGGAUGAUCAGGUCUAUCCAGGAAACAGCUCUGGCAUCCCAAACUGAAAUAAUUAGGACGUAUAUAGACCUGACAAAAAUGGAAAGGGGGUGGGGAAUCUGAGGGUCUGUCUUGCCUAAUUGAUUCCGCUAAACGGAAUGCAGGAGAUGUGAACGGCAGGACGCUCCGAUUCCCACGCUCGGGGGCAAGUGGUAAAGCGGGCCCGGCAGCCUAUGACAGACAGCCCUGUUGGGGGGUGGGGGUAUGAAAAAAACAUCGAGUGCACACACCAUACUCAUCUCCAUCGCUUAAGAAAGUAGAGGCAUUUCCCACCCACAGCCAUCUGCAGCCUCCCAAAUGGCAGCACCAACUGGUCUGUAGCUGCUGCAUACUGUCUGAUUCUGUUAAUUUUAUAACCGCUGUUUAAUCUGGCCAUAAUUAAGUUUGGCUUUCUUCUUUGCUUGAGAUUUUCAAUAUUUAAGGAAAGCUAGUAGAAAGCAGUUCCAAGCAAGUCCCAUGACUGCCUGCCCCUCAUGUCAAAUUGCCAGUCCGCACUUUUGGCCUUCCACCUUUUGGCUUUUGUUUUGGGGAAGGGGGUUCUAUUUAAAAUACUUAUCUCUUCUGUAAUAGACAUUAUUAUCACUUCAUCAGGCUCUUUACCUCUGAACAUGAUAUAUCCAGGAAGUUGGCCUAAUUCUGCUAGUAGACAUACACUGGAAGUAAAACUAUAAAAUCAUCAACCUAUAGAAAGGUGACCACAAUAACAGUGUGAUGAAAGGUUGUUUUAGUAUAGUCCCAGCUAGAUGUGUUCUAAACAGCCAUUUUUAUUUAAUCUAAAAUGACUAUGCUUAGCAGAAACUUUGGGAGGUCCCCAUGGUAAUCUUUUCAUGAAAGUCCUUUCAUUUUUCCACGUGUCACCAAGCAAACAUUUGUAUAGGCAUUUAAAAAUAAACACAAACACAAACACUGUAAUAAGAAAAUGCCCAAAAUGGCCUGUUAUCUUCCACGUGACCUAGAUUACUGACAAUCCCAAAUCCCAAAUACACAACUUUUCUUCAAAAGCAUUACAUUUCCUUUGUAGCUGCAACUCCUUAUAAGAGUUCAGACUGGAGAAGCCUGAAAAACCACUGUUAAUUUCAGUUAGAAACUGAGAGACUUUAUGAACGUAAAUUCUCAAUUUGGCCGCUGAACACGUGCCAAAGUUUUAACUACUGUAGUGACCGUUGAGAAGACCCUUGUUUAUUUACAUUUGAAGCACUGUUUGUGCAAACAACCUUUCAUUGUUAAGUGCCUGUAUUCCUUUCAUUUACUUCAUGUCCAGGGGUGCUAUUUACCUAGAACCAUUGUCUACUACAAUUAACAUUUACAUUACAAAGUGUGUGGUUUUCUUUCUCAAGGAGGUUCAAUUAAGGCAAUAAGAUGUUUGCUGGGGAAACCUAUUGUUUACUGAAAGCACUCAAUGGAGUCAAAUUACUGAAGCUUUUGCCUACAUCUUGGUCUUUUAUGUAAAUGUGUUAAAUAUAACAUCUAAGGAAAAUAAACAAUAUUAUAAUUACGUGUUUGCCAUUGUCAUAUCAAACUUGCUUUGUAUCAUACUAAUGUUACAUGACUUAUCGAUCAAUAAAAAUACAUUUCAAUGUUA
Equus caballus (horse) is the source of this 4012-nucleotide long non-coding RNA. Lineage: Eukaryota; Metazoa; Chordata; Mammalia; Perissodactyla; Equidae. The record is from Ensembl.